Haemonchus placei is the source of this 75-nucleotide non-coding RNA. The record is from Rfam. NCBI's taxonomy places the organism in Eukaryota, Metazoa, Nematoda, Chromadorea, Rhabditida, Trichostrongylidae.
GGCCCAAAUUUGAAGUAGAAUAGAUUAGUAGAAUCACUUGACCCUACUAAACUACUCUACUUCGAGUUUGUGCCC